RNAcentral lists this long non-coding RNA (11264 nucleotides) under Setaria viridis. RNAcentral describes it as "long non-coding RNA (SVIR_LNC006256)". Lineage: Eukaryota; Viridiplantae; Streptophyta; Magnoliopsida; Poales; Poaceae. The record is from RNAcentral.
GCCCGAGGAUGCCCAACACUGGUUUCACCCUCACCUCCCGGACAUUGAAGAUGACAGGGAAUUGCACCAUGCCGUGGGAGUGGAAUGAGGAUGCUGUUGUCACUUCAGAUGAACUAUGGCAUGCAAACACCAUGGAGAGUCUCCCUCAUGACAUUGUGAUGCUCCCAUUGCUGAGUAUGGAUAAGGCCAAUGUUGCGCACCUUUCAUUGCUUGACUGGGAUGGUGGCAGAUUCUCAUUAGUUUCCAUCGACUUGAGUAACAUGCAAGUGAUGGGCUCAGUCAUUACAUACCUCGAAGGGGAGGAUGAUCCUGCUGAUGCUGACAUCGUCAAGGCAAAGAAAGAAUUAUGUGCACACUUUAUUCCAUCCGAAUUCCCCAAGUUCCUGGGUCUCAGGUAACUUCAGCGUUGCCUCCCACUUUUACUUGAGCACAAUUUUUUUUCAUGCAGCCUUUUGCUCUCUUUUUUUCAGCAGUUAAGGUUUCUGCCAUGUUAUUCUUGAAACCUUUGAGGAAUCAACAGAAUGUGCUGGUUGCUGGGAGUAAUAUGGAUCAAUGUUUUCAAAUCUUUAUGUUGAGUCUAGUCGCUGGGGCACCAACUAGAUGGCUAAUCGUGACUAGGCAACGAUUAAAUUGCGAUUAGCUCUGAGACCAGUCGAUCCACCCUUGCCUAUAGUAGAGAAUGAUAGAGUAUAACACAAAGGUGACGAACUGAUCUCUUGGUUUGAGCCAACACAUAAUUGUUCUUUGUGGGUUCUUCAAUCUGAAAGUGCAUAAUAGCGUGCCAGCGUUGUGCUCUGUUUCCUUCACUAUUUUGAUUCUACAUGUCAAAUUAUUGAAAGGUUUUGUUCGGUUACCAACAACAUGGAUCCUUAGAAGUAGGUGGCACCCAGCGAAUCAGCAUCAUAUCGAAGAACCCCUAGGUCUUCUAAACAAACUGGCUGGAAUUGUGGAAAUCAAUUGAACUUAAUUAUAUCCAUAGUGCCUUCCUUGUAUAUCAUGUUUCAUUCAGCCAGUAGUAACCUCAGCAACUUGACGGUCUUGGGAAAUUAGGCAAUGGUAGUCUGCCCGAGGUUAAUAUAAAUGUUUCACAGCUUAAUCUGUUGCCUAACUGUUGCUUGUCACGUUGAUUCCAAAAUCGACCAUAUGCUAAGUUAUUUUUUCUGUAUGAUGUCCGAGACACCUGAGAAUCUUUUAUAAUUCUUGGUAACCAUGGAUACUGUCAAAAUAACUUCAGCAAUGGGUGAAUCUAAGACUAUGGGAAGCCUAAAUUUCAAUUUGUACAGAUUAUCUCUGCUGAAAAAUUGUUGAAAUCAUCAGCAUGUGCUGUAGCUGACAAUUAUUGUUUCCUAUUUGUAUUGAUGAAGUUCUUGCUACUGUAUUGCAGGGAGAGAGAGAACCAUCCAUAAGUCCUGUCACCAUAUCGGCUGGCCACCGUCGUCAUGUGUGUUGCUUCUUCAUUUUCCGGUUCUUAGAUGACGUUGUGCUGGAUUCUACUGCCGACUUUGUUGAUUGGCUACUUCAAUUCUGAGUUUAGUGCUCAGCCUUUGUGUGUUCCCUGCACUUGUGUACUAUAAAUAGCCAGGAAAAACACCUUUACCAGGCUCAUCCGUUGAACUAUAUGAUAAUGCUAGAUGAUGUGUCCAUGCCUUGCUAACGUCUUCUAAAUGCCAUGCGAGUUAAAAAUCCUGCAAUCAUGUUUCAUGGUAGCUUACCUUUGCACAAUGAAACUCCUCACUAAAAACACAGGUCAAUUUGAGGGACUAUUGUGUUAUUUUUACAGGGAUCUAAUGCCAUCAAUCAAAUUGUAAAAUACAGACAGGUGCGCGUGGAAUGGACACUUGUGUUCAUUCAGAUUUUUGUGAUAUUUCAUACCUAAUGAUUACCAGGUUGUCACGCCCCUACAUGCAAAAUUGGUCUACGAGAUGGGAUAUGAGCUCAAAAGGACGUGAGAGCUGUAUUAUCAUGUAGCUCAUGACCUGGCAGAAGUGAAUAGUUGCACGAAAUACAACAUUGCAAACAAGGUUUUAUUCAUUCUCUCUGCCGAUGGCACACGGUAGCAGAAGCAGUGCCACCAAUUGGUGAAAGAUUUUCAGUAAACUGAGUGUUUGACAGAACAAUAUGAUGCCACCAAAGCAAUCUGCAUGAGUUCUCUACCUCCGGAAGUCCAGAUGCUUGCUCUGUUUCAUUGCUGUAGCUCAUGGCAACUCUGGCAGCACCAUGGUCAUUUGCUGCACCAUUUUUCAGAAUAUGUAAAAUUCAAGUCAUACCAUGCAGUUGAUGGAGAUAAAGAUAUGCUCCAAAUGAAAUGAUUAAAAAAACAAUCAUAUUUAUUCUCCAGGCACCACUGGAACUCAUUCCCGAUGUCACUUGUCUCUGCCUGUGCCUACAUCGAGGAAGUAGCAUGCGAAUGAGAAAGAUGAAGAUAAGUACCAAGAGGUAAAUGUAUUCACUUGUCUCUGCAUGUGCCUACAUCGAGGAAGUAGCAUGCGAAUGAGAAAGACGAAGAUAAGUACCAAGAGGUAAAUACAUUCUUGAGAUAAAUAGAUAAAUAAAACCAAGGACCAGCGCGUGAAAAUAAGUACUCCGUUUAAGAUACUAUAUGCACAAUAAUCUUUACUCGUACAUAUUUUCUGUACAGCCAUGUACAAAGUUCAGCUCACUGUCAAGAGGUACACCAUACGACUGCAAGCUCAAAGAAUAGAAGAUUAUUACACACCACCCAAACUCUACCUUUUGUACAUCAGGUGCUCGAGAAACAUACAUUGGACAAGUAGAAUAAAAGUUAUAAAUCAUAUCAACAAUUCCAGUUAAAUACGGUGUUUCCGAAACAACCAACCGUUCUUGGGCGUAAUCUUCCUGACACUAUCCUGGAGAAACUGGAGCGUGCCUGGAGACAUGUGAGCCCUGUCCAUUGUGUUAACCUUCGCCGCCUUUCGAGGGGACAAGGCACACUGCAUUGCCCAGAUUGCAAGGGGGCGCAUGUAUAUCAAUGACCUAUAGUGGCCAUCCACUGUCCAUGCUUCUGGAGUUUGAAACCAGUACCUGAAUUUGUCAAGGAAAUUGAUUAUUAAUUAUUAGCAUAAAUAGGUCCAAUAAUGUGACUCCAUUUCUGUUACGAAACAAAUCGAUGAAUGCGCUGAAUCCAAGAUAGUGCGAUCAUAAAAGAACUAUAUCCAUUGCCAGUAACAAUAAAUAAUCUUAGCAGUCUUAAGCAGCAUUAACUUCGCAUACUGCAGGAAAAUGCACAGUAAUAUCUAAACCCUUUAUGACUUUAUCUCAUACUAUUACUUAACCAUUGUCAUCUCAAAGGACGAACUAGUAUAUGAGAACUACUCACAUUACUAUGCAUAUCAUGUACCGGGAAAAUGAUGCUAGGACUGGAACUUCUAUAUAGCGAAACAAAACAAGAAGCAUACUCAUAGCCCUCUUCAGACCAUCCUGAAAUAUAAAUGCCUUCUGCAGCAGUGAAGGCCUGAUGCUCCAUUCCAUGAAGCAGCAUCGUUGCAGCUAAACUAUAUGUUACUCCUGUCCAUAUUUCCGUUGACUGCAUACAGGUUUCAUCUACCUUCCCGUUCGGAUGCAUACCGUUCACGGCUCCCAUACGUCCUCCUUUCACCCUCAUCACAUUAUAGUCAAAUAUUUUCUGAAGCGUGCAUUUUAUCCUAUCCUCAUCAAAUAGAGGAUGAUGCAGUAUACCAUUGUCCAGCCAGCUGGUCUGCCUGGAUAGAACGGCUACUGUAACUUGUUCCACCGUCAUAAUUGAAGUAUGAACAAUUCCAGAAUCUGGCUUCAAAUACGGAUUUAGCUUUUGCAAAUCUUACCAUGCACCUCUCAGCAUAGUCAUCAUGUCCAAGGCUGCGGGCCAGUGCGGCUGCAGCUUGCAGUGCAGUUCGAAGGCAAAGGCAACCAGUACGCACUUACUCCUUGAACUAUCCAAGCAUCAUAAGUUUGAUCAGGAAAUCCAUCAUUUUCAAUCAUACCAUCACUAUCAUGAUCAAAUUGUUCCAUAUAUUCCGUAGCAGUACAAACUGCAGGCCAGACAUCCUUGCCAAAUGACAUAUCACCUGUUGCAGAAAAAUCUCUGUAAAUCUGAAGCACGAACUUGUGUCAUGGAUGUUGUAAGCAUUCAAUUCAUGCCAUUGAUCAUGUGCUCCAAGGUCACGGGCGACAGCACCAAUUACUUUACGAAUCCCCCAGGUACCAUCAGCAAGAAAUCUGACUCUACUGUUAUCUUCCCGCAAAACAGCUCUUGCAAAAUCACGUUGAAUGCUUUAUUCAAUCUUAGGAAACAGAUCCAAAAGAGCAAAAGAGGCAUAGCAAUGUACAUUGUAAGUGCACCACAUGAAGUACUCUAUUCCUUCCAGGUACAAAAACUUCCCAACGUUUUCUUUGUCAUCGAUCUCAUGUGGGUCAAAACCGAUUAGGGGAGCUGUAGAAUUGCAACUGCUAUCACGAAGUGAUGAAUCACUGUCCUCAAGGAGACUUGAAUUUGACUUGUUAUCAGCAUCAACCACCAAAGAUUCACUAUCUGUCAUGUUCGGAAAUAAAAAGGUUUCACUAUCUCAGAGUAAAAACAAUACAACAUAUAGAUACCGAAAGUUGCAAAUGAUCAUCAGAUUAGUAGUUGUAAAAAUUAAAGUAUCAUUUUUGUAUUGUCACCUUCUAUGAGAGAAGGUAAUCAGACCAAUAAAUUGACAGCCCAGAAGAUCAGAACAUUGGGAUUUGUAUCUAGAGAUAUUCUGCUCUUGAAUCAAUCUAGUAUUAUGUUUCUCUUUACUUUAUUCCAAAAUAAUUUGAUCAUUAAAAAUAGAAUCUACAUAUCAACAACAUGCACAUCACAAAUUUUUCAAGCAAUGCUUUCAUAGUAACAUGGUCAAAGCAGUACUCCAUAAAGAAUUUAUAGUGAAUAUGGAUCAUUGAAGGACAGAAGAAGAAAACUUAAUGUGCAUAUUGCCUAUUUAUUUUAUACUGCUUCCCAGAAGAGAACACUCAAAUGGAAGCUAAACGCAGGAUAAUCUCUUAGAAAAUGCUAAGUUAAUUGCUGAAUUCCAGUAAUGUAUAUAUCCAAAAUCAUCAAGCUCUUUGUGUUACUUGCAGGCUAAAUACGACUGAGAGUAGAAAAUUGGAGAAAGGAAAAAGAGUAACAAUACAUGCAGAGAUUAGUACCAAUCCAAACAGUUCCUCCAGCAACUAGGAAGUACAGCUCAUUGAAGAGAGUAAUCAGUCAAACAGGUUAGCAUAUAGUUAUGAGACAUUGGUUAUAUGCAGAUGAAGGAAAACGUUAACAUGCAUUGUCCAACAACUCUUCAAGGUUUCUACUAAAGGAAUCAAGAAGUAUUUUUUUUAACAACUGACUUGAGUUGUCUCAAUCCCAAUUUGGUUUUGUCAUGAUUGUCACCAAGUUAGGAAUAAAGAAUUUACCUGUAGUAUGCACUUCCUUUUUUAAAUUUAACCUUAGGAGAAGACCAAGCUAAUGCGGAUACGACUGUACAUCUUCCAUGUGGUUCAACCCAGGUGGAAGCAGAAACUGCUGCACAAACUGUAUCACCCAGUGAAGAAAGCAUGCUGGCACCAGCAUUGAAAUUAUCUCGCUCAAAGGAACCAUACUUUACACAUUGAAACUUCAAUCAUUUCAUUAUUUCAAAAAGGAAAGUAGUUCCACACAAGAUUUGCCUUUGAUGCGCUAGAAUACAAUAAUCUCAGAAACAAGAUUGUUUGGGUUUGGGCACAUUUUGGUCAAUACCCCAGGUUUCAGCACGCCCGUGGGCCGUGGUAACAGCAAUGAAUGGGCCAUCGUGGCCACCUGACUCGCCCGCCUUCAUAUUGUCACCCAUGAACACAAUGCCAGAUGCAUUAAAUGGAGGAAAUUCAGAGCGUGUAGACAUUGCUUCAGGUUCAACUUCAAUCCAUUGUCCAGUUUCAUGCUUCUGCUUCCACAGUUCAACAAAAUGGGAACAUGCCUUCCUAUUCAAUCAGCCAAAUUGAGGAAGUUAGCAUGAAAGAUGUCUGAUAAGAUGUACGUUAUAGUUUGAUGAAAUGACUAAACUUGUGUCGUUGUACAAAUUGAUGAACAAGUUCAAGAGAAGUAUUAAGACGGGAGCAUGGAAUAGUACAGUUUUCCACAGCUCAUGUUUCUCGUCUGAAUAAACCUUAUAAAACAUCUGAGGUAUCCACACUAUCCUGACAUGCUAAAGCAGAUGAUACAAGCGACAUGGGUAGGAGCCUCAAGAUCAAGCUAAAAGUACGAAAGAUAUUACGAUAACUAGCUCAGUCUAGCAUACAAAAACACUUGAGUAGUCUCAUUAUUCUUUGUUGCUCAGGAAAUUUGGAAGCACAGAAAUAGCCCGAUCUUCCGAUAGGUAUGGAUAAUUCGAUUGGUGGAGAACUCGAUGCUGAUAAUCCGAGCUUCUAAUCAGACACGAUUCGAACCCCUGCAACCGCUACACUGUUGCUCCGUUGGUUAUCAACCAAACACAACUCGAUUGACCUCGCCAAGAAGUUUUUCCCUGCAAGCGAAUCGAAAAACAUAAGAAAAAAGUAUAAACACGCAAUCUAAGAUUGCAGAUGUAUAUAAUAGAUCUAAGUAAAAGGUUCAAGCCCUCGAUUCAAAAGGACCAAUCGACACUAUCGAGGAGAUCGAGAACAGGAGCCUUGAAUCACAGUGAAAGGGCUUGUCGCCACAGUUACAAUAUAUUAAUCUCAGUUUCUCAAAGGAGAACUAGAACUAAACAAAACCCGAGUCUCUUAGGUGGGGGAGGCUACUAAGUUUAUAUGAAAAAGGGGCAAGCUAGGGUUGGGGACGACCAGGAGAGGGACGCCUACAACAUGGGCUUAAAGCCCGACUCAACUUGGCCCAAGUAACAUAUAUAUAAAUUAACAAGUAGAGAUACUAUACGAAUUAACCAAACUAAAACUAUAUAUAGUAAAUGGGCACGGGCUAAAAGUAAUAUAUGAUUUUGAGCUAAAUAAAUAUAGGGUUGGGUUGUGAAGGAGAUAUGGAUCUCGUAGCCACGAGUGAACCUGAGAGCUUAAAAAAACAGAGAGCGCCACACAUCGAUUAAAAGGUGGGCCGAAACAGAUAAAAGAUAAAAAAAGAAUCAUAUCGGCCCACAAUGAAAUGUUAAACAGAAGAACGCAAAUCUUGAAAACAUAUGGGUCGUUCAAAACCGACGGGCUAAUCUUUCUACGUGCUGGGCUGAUCCCAUGUGGGCCGAUACAGACACGUCAGGACAAGAAGACCCACCCGGCCAGGCCCAGACGCAGGAGACAAGAGAUUGAAGAGGAUAGAUCGAAUCAAUAGCCAACUCCUCUCGUCGUCCUCGUCUCCAAAUCGAGGCAUACCCCAACCCUAGCCAUCCCCAAUCCGGCCGCCGCGUCUACCGAUCCGUUAGAUCCAUGGCCGCCGCCGCCGCCGCCGCUGCCGGCGACUCCGCUGUACCCAACUGGGUGAUGCUGGAGCGCUGGGCCUUCCGGAGGGACGACCCCGCCUCCUUCCGCGAGGACAGGAGGACCUUCGCUUCCGGCACCACCUCCGCCGGCACUCAAUUCGACGUCUCCUUCAUCCUCGCCGAGCCUCCCACCCCCUCGCGCCUCUACCUCUCGUGGCCGGAAGGGCCCAAGAAGGGGGGCCAGGGCCUGGUCAUGGCGGCCAACCGCAACCUCGUCCUCUUCAGGCUCGACUCCCUCGUCGACGAAUCCGAGCCUUUCGGGGAGGUAGUGCAUGAUUACUUCAUCUACAUAGCUGAUCCCUCCUCACAGCAGACACCCCUGCUCAGACUGCUGCCCCCCUGCACCGAGUACAACGUUUAUUUUGAGAUGCAAGAUACUCGCGCGUUUCCGGUGCUGGCUGUUGGUCUGUUGUGCCAUGGCGAAGACGAGUUUGCCGUGGCGCAUCUGACCAUCAGGUCUCGCAAAAAAAAAUCAGGGUCUCGCAUAAAAAAAUCAGCUAUGCAAGCUGAGCUAUGCGUGCUACGCUCGUCAUUGUCCUGCAGUGAUGAUGCCAAAUGGGAGACCAAGGUCGUUCCGCUACAGUACCAAUACGAUGAUUUAUACUAUGAUUUUCUGAACUGGGAAGUGGAUGGUGUAGUUCCCUUCAAGAAUGCCUUGUGCUGGGUUAACUACUGUAGAGGCAUCCUUUUCUGCGACGGCGUCUUUGAAGACAGACCCAAGGUCUCCUACAUCCGCUUGCCUCUGGAUACUUCUUUCCGAGGGACUGGGACUGAUGCCGAUGCACUCAAGGGGAUGUACCGUGGCUUGUGUGUCACUGAAGGUGGCCAUCGGUUGGUAUUUGUUGAUGUUGCCCGUCAUGAUGGAAAAUGUUAUGGCCCGAGGAUGCCCAACACUGGUUUCACCCUCACCUCCCGGACAUUGAAGAUGACAGGGAAUUGCACCAUGCCGUGGGAGUGGAAUGAGGAUGCUGUUGUCACUUCAGAUGAACUAUGGCAUGCAAACACCAUGGAGAGUCUCCCUCAUGACAUUGUGAUGCUCCCAUUGCUGAGUAUGGAUAAGGCCAAUGUUGCGCACCUUUCAUUGCUUGACUGGGAUGGUGGCAGAUUCUCAUUAGUUUCCAUCGACUUGAGUAACAUGCAAGUGAUGGGCUCAGUCAUUACAUACCUCGAAGGGGAGGAUGAUCCUGCUGAUGCUGACAUCGUCAAGGCAAAGAAAGAAUUAUGUGCACACUUUAUUCCAUCCGAAUUCCCCAAGUUCCUGGGUCUCAGGUAACUUCAGCGUUGCCUCCCACUUUUACUUGAGCACAAUUUUUUUUCAUGCAGCCUUUUGCUCUCUUUUUUUCAGCAGUUAAGGUUUCUGCCAUGUUAUUCUUGAAACCUUUGAGGAAUCAACAGAAUGUGCUGGUUGCUGGGAGUAAUAUGGAUCAAUGUUUUCAAAUCUUUAUGUUGAGUCUAGUCGCUGGGGCACCAACUAGAUGGCUAAUCGUGACUAGGCAACGAUUAAAUUGCGAUUAGCUCUGAGACCAGUCGAUCCACCCUUGCCUAUAGUAGAGAAUGAUAGAGUAUAACACAAAGGUGACGAACUGAUCUCUUGGUUUGAGCCAACACAUAAUUGUUCUUUGUGGGUUCUUCAAUCUGAAAGUGCAUAAUAGCGUGCCAGCGUUGUGCUCUGUUUCCUUCACUAUUUUGAUUCUACAUGUCAAAUUAUUGAAAGGUUUUGUUCGGUUACCAACAACAUGGAUCCUUAGAAGUAGGUGGCACCCAGCGAAUCAGCAUCAUAUCGAAGAACCCCUAGGUCUUCUAAACAAACUGGCUGGAAUUGUGGAAAUCAAUUGAACUUAAUUAUAUCCAUAGUGCCUUCCUUGUAUAUCAUGUUUCAUUCAGCCAGUAGUAACCUCAGCAACUUGACGGUCUUGGGAAAUUAGGCAAUGGUAGUCUGCCCGAGGUUAAUAUAAAUGUUUCACAGCUUAAUCUGUUGCCUAACUGUUGCUUGUCACGUUGAUUCCAAAAUCGACCAUAUGCUAAGUUAUUUUUUCUGUAUGAUGUCCGAGACACCUGAGAAUCUUUUAUAAUUCUUGGUAACCAUGGAUACUGUCAAAAUAACUUCAGCAAUGGGUGAAUCUAAGACUAUGGGAAGCCUAAAUUUCAAUUUGUACAGAUUAUCUCUGCUGAAAAAUUGUUGAAAUCAUCAGCAUGUGCUGUAGCUGACAAUUAUUGUUUCCUAUUUGUAUUGAUGAAGUUCUUGCUACUGUAUUGCAGGGAGAGAGAGAACCAUCCAUAAGUCCUGUCACCAUAUCGGCUGGCCACCGUCGUCAUGUGUGUUGCUUCUUCAUUUUCCGGUUCUUAGAUGACGUUGUGCUGGAUUCUACUGCCGACUUUGUUGAUUGGCUACUUCAAUUCUGAGUUUAGUGCUCAGCCUUUGUGUGUUCCCUGCACUUGUGUACUAUAAAUAGCCAGGAAAAACACCUUUACCAGGCUCAUCCGUUGAACUAUAUGAUAAUGCUAGAUGAUGUGUCCAUGCCUUGCUAACGUCUUCUAAAUGCCAUGCGAGUUAAAAAUCCUGCAAUCAUGUUUCAUGGUAGCUUACCUUUGCACAAUGAAACUCCUCACUAAAAACACAGGUCAAUUUGAGGGACUAUUGUGUUAUUUUUACAGGGAUCUAAUGCCAUCAAUCAAAUUGUAAAAUACAGACAGGUGCGCGUGGAAUGGACACUUGUGUUCAUUCAGAUUUUUGUGAUAUUUCAUACCUAAUGAUUACCAGGUUGUCACGCCCCUACAUGCAAAAUUGGUCUACGAGAUGGGAUAUGAGCUCAAAAGGACGUGAGAGCUGUAUUAUCAUGUAGCUCAUGACCUGGCAGAAGUGAAUAGUUGCACGAAAUACAACAUUGCAAACAAGGUUUUAUUCAUUCUCUCUGCCGAUGGCACACGGUAGCAGAAGCAGUGCCACCAAUUGGUGAAAGAUUUUCAGUAAACUGAGUGUUUGACAGAACAAUAUGAUGCCACCAAAGCAAUCUGCAUGAGUUCUCUACCUCCGGAAGUCCAGAUGCUUGCUCUGUUUCAUUGCUGUAGCUCAUGGCAACUCUGGCAGCACCAUGGUCAUUUGCUGCACCAUUUUUCAGAAUAUGUAAAAUUCAAGUCAUACCAUGCAGUUGAUGGAGAUAAAUAUAUGCUCCAAAUGAAAUGAUUAAAAAAACAAUCAUAUUUAUUCUCCAGGCACCACUGGAACUCAUUCCCGAUGUCACUUGUCUCUGCCUGUGCCUACAUCGAGGAAGUAGCAUGCGAAUGAGAAAGAUGAAGAUAAGUACCAAGAGGUAAAUGUAUUCACUUGUCUCUGCAUGUGCCUACAUCGAGGAAGUAGCAUGCGAAUGAGAAAGACGAAGAUAAGUACCAAGAGGUAAAUACAUUCUUGGAUAAGGCCAAUGUUGCGCACCUUUCAUUGCUUGACUGGGAUGGUGGCAGAUUCUCAUUAGUUUCCAUCGACUUGAGUAACAUGCAAGUGAUGGGCUCAGUCAUUACAUACCUCGAAGGGGAGGAUGAUCCUGCUGAUGCUGACAUCGUCAAGGCAAAGAAAGAAUUAUGUGCACACUUUAUUCCAUCCGAAUUCCCCAAGUUCCUGGAUCUCAGGUAACUUCAGCGUUGCCUCCCACUUUUACUUGAGCACAAUUUUUUUUCAUGCAGCCUUUUGCUCUCUUUUUUUCAGCAGUUAAGGUUUCUGCCAUGUUAUUCUUGAAACCUUUGAGGAAUCAACAGGAUGUGCUGGUUGCUGGGAGUAAUAUGGAUCAAUGUUUUCAAAUCUUUAUGCUGAGUCUAGUCGCU